Molecule: small RNA, 558 nt
Filed under: Arabidopsis thaliana (thale cress)
Lineage: Eukaryota; Viridiplantae; Streptophyta; Magnoliopsida; Brassicales; Brassicaceae
Description: ATSL113080
Source: RNAcentral
GUUUUCACUUGUCUUCGACUGAAUCAGUGUUGCCUUCUCUCAGGUUAUAUCUUUCGUCUAUGCUUUCGUCAAAGCAAAAAAUCCCUAAAUUAGAUGAAUUUUAUGCCUUGACUCAAGGCAUAAAUUCAUCAAAUGUGGUAUAUAGAGCGUAUUUAGCUUCAUAUAUACUAUUGAGUUUCCAGAGUCGUACGAGCGCUAUCAAGUAUCAGAAGCGAAUAAAAAUAAAAUAUCCUUACGAAAAAAAAAAUCGUCUACAAAAAAUAAACAUCAUUGUCAUGUAAGAAAAAGAAAAUUGACAAACUAAAUAUUAGUUCUUAAACAGUUGUUGACCCUUCCUCUCCACUAAAUCGUUAACCAAGCUUUCAAAAUCAAUGUCUCUAACCAAUUCUCUUUCGAUUGAUAAUAUAGCCAACUCACUCAAUCUUUCUUGUGACAUAGUCGACCGAAGAUACGAUUUGAUCAACUUCAGCUUUGAAAAACUUCUUUAAGCAGAUGCAACCGAAACUGGAAUCGUCAACAUUGUUCCUAUAAAGCAAUGGUACCUUCAAUAUGAGACAA